GACGUAGGGCGCGAGCGUUGUCCGGAAUUAUUGGGCGUAAAGAGCUCGUAGGCGGUCUGUCGCGUCUGCUGUGAAAACCUGGGGCUUAACCCCGGGCCUGCAGUGGGUACGGGCAGACUAGAGUGCGGUAGGGGAGACUGGAAUUCCUGGUGUAGCGGUGGAAUGCGCAGAUAUCAGGAGGAACACCGGUGGCGAAGGCGGGUCUCUGGGCCGAUACUGACGCUGAGGAGCGGAAGCGUGGGGAGCGAACAGG
Molecule: ribosomal RNA, 253 nt
Filed under: uncultured bacterium
Lineage: Bacteria
Description: partial 16S ribosomal RNA
Rfam family: Bacterial small subunit ribosomal RNA
Source: RNAcentral